GGGCGUGGCGGGGGUGCGGCCGGGCCAGCGGAACGGAACGGAACGGAACGGGCCGGGCGGAGGGCGCAGCCAUGUCCUUCUGCUCCUUUUUUGGGGGAGAGGUGUUCAAGGACCACUUCCAGCCGGGUAUUUACGUGUGUGCCAAGUGUGGCCAUGAGCUCUUCUCCAGCCGGGCCAAGUACGAGCACUCGUCGCCGUGGCCGGCGUUCACCGAGACCCUGCGCGGGGACAGCGUGGCCAAACGCGAGGAGCGCCCGGGAGCCUUAAAGGUGACGUGUGGCAAGUGUGGCAACGGGCUGGGCCACGAGUUCCUCAACGAUGGGCCCAAGAGGGGCCAGUCCCGCUUCUGAAUAUUCAGCAGCUCACUGAAGUUCCUCCCGAAAGGUAAAUCUGACCUGACGGAAAAAUAAGUGAGCUGCUGCACCUGGCACUGCCCUGGGCUCAUCCUGCCUUCACUCCUUGGGAUGCGCUGUCCUGCCAAGAGGACCCACAGCAGGAGCAACCCCAAGGAAGCUCCUGCUCCGAGUUUUCCCCUGAUUUCGUGGUCACGGUUUCCCCUUGAUUUCCCAGUCAAGGUUUUAUUCCCUGAUUUCCCUGUCAGGGUUCCCCUGUUUUCCCUGGGCCAGUUCCCCUCAAUAUCUCUGUCACGGUUCUCCCCGGGUUUCUCUGUCCUGGUUCUCUCCUGGUUCCCCCAUCCCCGUUAUCCCCUGGUUCCCCUGUCCUGGUUCUCUCCUGGUUCCCCUGUCCUGGUUCUCUCCUGGUUCCCCCAUCCCAGUUAUCCCCUGGUUUCCCUGCCACUGUUCCUCUCUAUUUCCCUGUCCUGGUUCUCUCCUGGUUUCCCUGUCACAGUUCUCUCCUGGUUCCCCUGUCCUGGUUCUCUCCUGGUUUCUCUGUCCUGGUUCUCUCCUGGUUCUCCUGUCCUGGUUCUCUCCUGGUUCCCCUGUCCUGGUUCUCUCCUGGUUCCCCUGUCCUGGUUCUCUCCUGGUUCCCCUGUCCUGGUUCUCUCCUGGUUUCCCUGUCACAGUUCUCUCCUGGUUUCCCUGUCCUGGUUCUCUCCUGGUUUCUCUGUCCUGGCUCUCUCCUGGUUCCCCUGUCCUGGUUCUCUCCUGGUUCCCUGGCCCAGUUCCUCCCUGGGGCUGCUCCAGCUCCAUCCAAGGAGCUGCUGUGCCUGUGCUGAGCUCAGGGAGGGUUUGCUGCUGACAGUGUCCAGAGCCCAGGCAGGCACUGGAUGCACUCCAGGGAGGCUCUGCUGGCACUUGCAGGGACUAAGGCAGGAUUAGCCCAGGCCAGGGUCAGGGUUAAUCCCUGGAGCUAUUCUGGGCUGGGAUCAUGGUAUGAACUGCCCUAUAUAAACCCUCCAGGGCGCUGGGGCAGGGAUGUUUUAUGGUCCCACAUGUUUUCUGGGCAGCAUCCAGGUGUUUUCCCCCUCUGCCCACCUCCCACACUGCAGAGACGGUUCCACACCGGGGCCCUCGACUCUGCCCUGGCCUUACACCUGAUUCAGCGCUGUGCAAUAAAUUCCAGGGGCACUUGGCUUCCUCCUGGCUGUGCCCUGCAGGGAGGGAGGCUGGAAUUGGGCCCCAGAACUGCACUUGGCACCGCUCAGGCUCAGCAUUGUGGCUGUGCUGCCUCAGUGCUCCCAAGAGCUGCCACACUGAUCCUCCUCAGUUCAGUGCCUCAUUCCUGGCCUUCCCUCCCUGGCCCAGGAGCCAAAUCCUCCUCUGGAAGGGAUCCACGAGGAUCUUUAAAGAGGGAAAAGGCUGUUGCUGACCCGUGGGUUUAGAGGGGCUGUGCUGCUGGUGCAGCUGCACUUGGGGACACUUUGGGGGCUUUUCUCUCCGUGUGUUUUCCCUCAAUCCCACGGAUCCCAGGGCACCAGGGCAGGUUUGCCACCCCUGGAGCUCACUGCAGGUCUUGUACCUCUCCAUGCUGAAAUAAAGCACUGAUUCACU
Taeniopygia guttata (zebra finch) is the source of this 1952-nucleotide long non-coding RNA. NCBI's taxonomy places the organism in Eukaryota, Metazoa, Chordata, Aves, Passeriformes, Estrildidae. The record is from Ensembl.